GUUUCAAUUAAGCAAUGGAUGGAGUAUCCUGUAUAGGAAGGAAAGGAAGUAACACAGAGGCCAGGUUCUACCAGCAUGCCGAAUCCUACUCCAGUAACAUCUCUCCCCAUCAUUGGUAUUAAUGCUUGUCUGUCACCAGCAUUGUGUGGUAUUGUAUGGAUCCAUGAGAAACCUUUUAGUGCUUUGGCUGAUCUGAAGUCUGUCUGAGUAGAGAUCACAUUAAGUGUUCAUUCCGGUCCACUGUAGUUGUUAUUAUGCCAGGAGUGGCCCAGCACAGCCUUAUUGUAAAUAGUCAAACUGUUUGCUAACAAUUCGACUCCUUAUCUGGGAUUCACUGUGGACUGCUCCUUUCCCCUUACAAAUUGGUUCUGGGAGCAAGAAGCACUUCACAGGUUCUGCAGUGCAGGUACAGCCUACUGGCUGCAGUAUCAGCUAAACAUUCAC
Non-coding RNA from Pelobates cultripes (western spadefoot toad), 444 nucleotides. NCBI's taxonomy places the organism in Eukaryota, Metazoa, Chordata, Amphibia, Anura, Pelobatidae. The record is from the annotation of a GenBank genome assembly.